Molecule: ribosomal RNA, 402 nt
Filed under: uncultured bacterium
Lineage: Bacteria
Description: bacterial SSU rRNA
Rfam family: Bacterial small subunit ribosomal RNA
Source: RNAcentral
UGGGGAAUAUUGGACAAUGGGCGCAAGCCUGAUCCAGCCAUGCCGCGUGAGUGAUGAAGGCCCUAGGGUUGUAAAGCUCUUUUGUGCGGGAAGAUAAUGACUGUACCGCAAGAAUAAGCCCCGGCUAACUUCGUGCCAGCAGCCGCGGUAAUACGAAGGGGGCUAGCGUUGCUCGGAAUCACUGGGCGUAAAGGGUGCGUAGGCGGGUCUUUAAGUCAGGGGUGAAAUCCUGGAGCUCAACUCCAGAACUGCCUUUGAUACUGAGGAUCUUGAGUUCGGGAGAGGUGAGUGGAACUGCGAGUGUAGAGGUGAAAUUCGUAGAUAUUCGCAAGAACACCAGUGGCGAAGGCGGCUCACUGGCCCGAUACUGACGCUGAGGCACGAAAGCGUGGGGAUCAAACA